CAGUAGCCGCGGGAACACGUAGGUGGCAAGCGUUGUCCGGAAUUAUUGGGCGUAAAGGGCUCGCAGGCGGUUUCUUAAGUCUGAUGUGAAAGCCCCCGGCUCAACCGGGGAGGGUCAUUGGAAACUGGGAAACUUGAGUGCAGAAGAGGAGAGUGGAAUUCCACGUGUAGCGGUGAAAUGCGUAGAGAUGUGGAGGAACACCAGUGGCGAAGGCGACUCUCUGGUCUGUAACUGACGCUGAGGAGCGAAAGCGUGGGGAGCGAACAGGAUUAGAUACCCGGGUAGUCCCUGUCUCUUAUAC
This 301-nucleotide ribosomal RNA is filed under the name uncultured bacterium. RNAcentral describes it as "partial 16S ribosomal RNA". It matches the Rfam family "Bacterial small subunit ribosomal RNA", at positions 509 to 807 of the family's 1533-position model. The record is from RNAcentral.